This 72-nucleotide transfer RNA is filed under the name Nylanderia flavipes. RNAcentral describes it as "tRNA-Trp". The record is from RNAcentral. Lineage: Eukaryota; Metazoa; Arthropoda; Insecta; Hymenoptera; Formicidae.
AAGAUUUUAAGUUAACUUAUUAACCAAACUUUAAACCUUCAAAGUUUACAAUAUAUUUUUUUAUAAGUCUUA